UUUAUAUUAUAAUGUAUCACUAUACAUUAAAUUAAUUCCCAAAGUAAAUUUGAAUAUUUCAAAUUACAACCAAUAUAAAUAAAUCUCAUUACCCUUUACGAGUUAGGACUCGACCUAAUGGACCUACAGAUCAGAAGCUACAACGAUUUGAAAAUAAUUGGCUAAACUCAUUAACCACAUUAAUUAAUAUUCGUUAACUGUGUGUACAUUCCACUAAAGACACACAACUAAACUCUUCUCACUAUAGAUAUAUUUCUGUGUCCACGGAUAUAGACCAAUAACAGUAAGUUAGUCCUUCACGAGUGUUCGUAACACCAGUUGGGUCAAUUUAUCGUUUUACCCUUAGGUUACCUUUAAUCCUUAAAUACCAGUGCUCCUCC
This 380-nucleotide long non-coding RNA is filed under the name Cucumis sativus (cucumber). RNAcentral describes it as "long non-coding RNA (CSAT_LNC002332)". Lineage: Eukaryota; Viridiplantae; Streptophyta; Magnoliopsida; Cucurbitales; Cucurbitaceae. The record is from RNAcentral.